AAACCACCCAUAAGUUUUGCAACUGUAGCAGUUUUGGCCCCCAAGGCAAAAUAAUAAUAAUAAUAAUAAUAAUAACAAGUGGCACCUCACUUAGGGUGCCACGUCAGCGUAGACCGAGUCAAAAUUGAUUUUGGGGGCCAAAACUGCCACAGGUGCAAAACUUAAAGGGCGGUUU
Molecule: microRNA precursor, 175 nt
Filed under: Medicago truncatula (barrel medic)
Lineage: Eukaryota; Viridiplantae; Streptophyta; Magnoliopsida; Fabales; Fabaceae
Description: MIR2619 microRNA precursor family
Rfam family: MIR2619 microRNA precursor family
Source: Rfam by way of RNAcentral